Molecule: ribosomal RNA, 515 nt
Filed under: uncultured bacterium
Lineage: Bacteria
Description: partial 16S ribosomal RNA
Rfam family: Bacterial small subunit ribosomal RNA
Source: RNAcentral
GAUGAACGCUGGCGGCGUGCCUAAUACAUGCAAGUCGAGUGAAUGGAUUAAGAGCUUGCUCUUAUGAAGUUAGCGGCGGACGGGUGAGUAACACGUGGGUAACCUGCCCAUAAGACUGGGAUAACUCCGGGAAACCGGGGCUAAUACCGGAUAACAUUUUGAACCGCAUGGUUCGAAAUUGAAAGGCGGCUUCGGCUGUCACUUAUGGAUGGACCCGCGUCGCAUUAGCUAGUUGGUGAGGUAACGGCUCACCAAGGCAACGAUGCGUAGCCGACCUGAGAGGGUGAUCGGCCACACUGGGACUGAGACACGGCCCAGACUCCUACGGGAGGCAGCAGUAGGGAAUCUUCCGCAAUGGACGAAAGUCUGACGGAGCAACGCCGCGUGGGUGAGGAAGGCUUUCGGGUCGUAAAACUCUGUUGUUAGGGAAGAACAAGUGCUAGUUGAAUAAGCUGGCACCUUGACGGUACCUAACCAGAAAGCCACGGCUAGCUACGUGCCAGCCGCCGCGGUAA